This 250-nucleotide ribosomal RNA is filed under the name uncultured bacterium. RNAcentral's name for it is "partial 16S ribosomal RNA". It matches the Rfam family "Bacterial small subunit ribosomal RNA", at positions 524 to 773 of the family's 1533-position model. The record is from RNAcentral.
UACGGAGGGGGCUAGCGUUGUUCGGAAUUACUGGGCGUAAAGGGCGUGUAGGCGGUUUGCCGAGUCAGACGUGAAAGCCCCGGGCUCAACCUGGGAGGUGCGUUUGAUACUGGCGGGCUUGAGGUUGGGAGAGGAGAGUGGAAUUCCCAGUGUAGAGGUGAAAUUCGUAGAUAUUGGGAAGAACACCAGUGGCGAAGGCGGCUCUCUGGCCCACACCUGACGCUGAGGCGCGAAAGCGUGGGGAGCAAAC